Molecule: non-coding RNA, 78 nt
Organism: Schistosoma rodhaini
Lineage: Eukaryota; Metazoa; Platyhelminthes; Trematoda; Strigeidida; Schistosomatidae
Source: Rfam
AUCUUUUUGAAUCCGUGUAGAGAUUUCGUCGGACACCAACCCAUCAGGGCUGACCAGACGUCCAAGAUAAGUGAGGUU